This 497-nucleotide ribosomal RNA is filed under the name uncultured bacterium. RNAcentral's name for it is "partial 16S ribosomal RNA". It matches the Rfam family "Bacterial small subunit ribosomal RNA", at positions 28 to 507 of the family's 1533-position model. The record is from RNAcentral.
GAUGAACGCUGGCGGCGUGCCUAAUACAUGCAAGUCGAGCGAACAGACGAGGAGCUUGCUCCUCUGACGUUAGCGGCGGACGGGUGAGUAACACGUGGAUAACCUACCUAUAAGACUGGGAUAACUUCGGGAAACCGGAGCUAAUACCGGAUAAUAUAUUGAACCGCAUGGUUCAAUAGUGAAAGACGGUUUUGCUGUCACUUAUAGAUGGAUCCGCGCCGCAUUAGCUAGUUGGUAAGGUAACGGCUUACCAAGGCGACGAUGCGUAGCCGACCUGAGAGGGUGAUCGGCCACACUGGAACUGAGACACGGUCCAGACUCCUGCGGGAGGCAGCAGUAGGGAAUCUUCCGCAAUGGGCGAAAGCCUGACGGAGCAACGCCGCGUGAGUGAUGAAGGUCUUCGGAUCGUAAAACUCUGUUAUUAGGGAAGAACAAGUGUGUAAGUAACUAUGCACGUCUUGACGGUACCUAAUCAGAAAGCCACGGCUAACUACGUG